Molecule: ribosomal RNA, 606 nt
Filed under: Vibrio sp. BTMM2
Lineage: Bacteria; Pseudomonadati; Pseudomonadota; Gammaproteobacteria; Vibrionales; Vibrionaceae
Description: bacterial SSU rRNA
Rfam family: Bacterial small subunit ribosomal RNA
Source: RNAcentral
ACUUGUUUCUCGGGUGGCGAGCGGCGGACGGGUGAGUAAUGCCUGGGAAAUUGCCCUGAUGUGGGGGAUAACCAUUGGAAACGAUGGCUAAUACCGCAUGAUGCCUACGGGCCAAAGAGGGGGACCUUCGGGCCUCUCGCGUCAGGAUAUGCCCAGGUGGGAUUAGCUAGUUGGUGAGGUAAGGGCUCACCAAGGCGACGAUCCCUAGCUGGUCUGAGAGGAUGAUCAGCCACACUGGAACUGAGACACGGUCCAGACUCCUACGGGAGGCAGCAGUGGGGAAUAUUGCACAAUGGGCGCAAGCCUGAUGCAGCCAUGCCGCGUGUGUGAAGAAGGCCUUCGGGUUGUAAAGCACUUUCAGUAGGGAGGAAGGUGGUAGUGUUAAUAGCGCUAUCAUUUGACGUUACCUACAGAAGAAGCACCGGCUAACUCCGUGCCAGCAGCCGCGGUAAUACGGAGGGUGCGAGCGUUAAUCGGAAUUACUGGGCGUAGAGCGCAUGCAGGUGGUUUGUUAAGUCAGAUGUGAUAGCCCCGGGCUCAGCCUGGGAAUUGCAUUUGAGACUGGCAUACUACAGUACUGUAGAGGGGGGUAGAAUUUCGGGUGUA